Nomascus leucogenys (northern white-cheeked gibbon) is the source of this 2984-nucleotide long non-coding RNA. RefSeq lists it as uncharacterized. The record is from RefSeq and is a predicted model, not a curated record. The transcript is spliced from 5 exons. NCBI's taxonomy places the organism in Eukaryota, Metazoa, Chordata, Mammalia, Primates, Hylobatidae.
GUGGGGAGGGGUCCAUCAGCAGCCUGCCUGGGGGUUCCCGCGGUAUGUGGGCAUCCGUGACGUGGAUCUGCCUCCCGGCUUCAUGGAUCUACCUCCCGGCUAGGCUGCUAGGCCAGGCCGUGGACAGUCAUUGGCCCAACAGCUGGCAGAGCUGUGGCAUGGGCCAUCUGUGCCACAGCUGGCCGGCGGGGCCAACACCGUGCUGGGGCUGGGAGGCUCGGCAGGGAGUAGUGCCUUCCAGGGUCGGGCACAGGGUUCUUGUGGAGACUGAGGCCCAGAGAGGUCGAGCACCAUGCCCCAGGUCACACAGCCAGUGAGCAGCAGAGCCUGAACUCACACCCGGGUCUGCGAAUCUGUGUAUCUGUGUUCUCCCCACUGCCCGCCCACCCCGGCCCCGGGCGUGCUGGGUGUGAAACCGCUGUUCCCACAGGGGCUGGACCUGGUAGAGGCUCCUUCCACACAGGCCCUAGAUGCCUCCAGAAUGACCUCUGGGGGCUGGGGCCGAGAUUAGCCCAGAAGAUACGGCACCUCCCUAGCAACCUUCGGGCCUCAGUGUCCCCUGACAGCAUGGCUCCCCUCCCUGCCGCCUGCAUUCCCGCUCGCUCCUGGGGCCGGCACACGGUGGAUGCCGGGGAGCACCCACUGGGCUCAGAGGGUCUGUCCCCACCCUGAGGCUGGUCAGGCCCCUUCCUGUGGGCCUGAGACACCAACACUGUGUUGGAUAGGCCCUGGCUCCCCUGGCCUCACUGUCACCUUGGAAAGCAGGCAGUAUGCUCCUCUCCACCUCAUGGGUGAGGAAACUGAGACCCAGGAAAGGGAGGAACAGAGCUCCUGCCAGAGCCUUGGGCCAUGCCAUGCUGUCGGCGGUGGCUCAGGCUAAGUCUGGAAGGAAAACACUCUGGGCUCGGCCCUCGGGGCGGCUGUCGGCGGAGCCCGUGGAGGCCGCCUCGUUUCCUGCAUCCAUUGCGCCCCAGCCCCCAGCCGAAUGGCAGAGGAAAUGCGAGGGGCCCCAUCCCAGUGCAGCUGGGGGCUGGAACAGGGCGAGGUGGGGCGGGCAGUCCAUGGCCUUGCUCUGUGGUGCCCAACACUGGUCAGACUUCAAGGGGAGAAAGUGGUGGUGGGGGAAGGGGUGACUGCCACUGCCCCUCAGGCCUUGGUCCCUCCUGCAAGGCUGACCCAGCCUCAGCGCCCUGACCCUCAGCCCUGUGCUGCUCACUGCACUGGUGGUCCCCAAGCUCAGCCACCUGGGUGUCCAAUCCAGAGGCACAGCACACACGCGUGCUCCAGCACUUCCUGUAAACACACUUUUUGUUCUAUACAAAUGGAUGCCUUCUAAUCAGAAACUUUCUGCAUCAUGACCUUUGCCUGAAAAGCCAGUGUCACCUACAAUUGCUGCCGUUGGCACGGGACAGGUUCCCAGCAUGGGAUGCAUAUUAGCUCCAGCCCUGGCUGUUGCUUUUGGGUUGACCUGGCAGGACAAAGUGGGCAGGGGGUGCCUCCAGGCCCCAGGGGAUGCCGUCCACAGGGCACAUCUGGGGCAGCACAUGCUGAGUGUCCACUGCAGUGAGUGGCUCCCCCAAAGAAGGUGCUUUGCACAGGCUGGCAUCGGGUGGGUGUCCCCCUUUUAAAGGACACCCCAGUGAUUCCCAGGGCCGCAUAGCAGGGCUCAGGAGCUGCACGCCAGCUGUGGGGCUCUGCCGGCUCCGAUGGGGGCUUCCGCUGGGGCAGGCUGGGGGGUAAACCCCAGGGGCAAUGGGCAGGCACAUUCCUGGCACAAAGGUGGGUGACCAGCGGCUACUGUGUCCCGGCUGCACCCAAGCCAGGCGGGCAGCGCUCAGCGAGGCUGCUGGGGCCUGGCCCUCCCCACCCUGGCCUUCCCGAGCCUCUAAUGAAUAUUAAUGAGCAGAGGAGGGUGAAAAAAAUUAAUCUGCUUGAUCCUCCGAUGGGUGCUGCGGUAACGAUAUGAAAUCUAAUUAUUCGUCCCAAUAUUUCUAAACCCUCAAACUGAGACUGACAGCCUCCCGGUCGGUUUAAUGCUUAUCACUCCCAGGAGCAGCGUGUUCGCAGCAUGAUAAAAACACGCGCCGCAACUUUGCUGACGCUGCACAACCCCCCGAUUUUUCUGUGGCAGUCCCGAGUGGAGGGAAGGCGCCAUGUUCCCGCCUGGCCCUGCCGAGUGCACCCCGCAUUUGUGGGGCACGAUGGGGCGCCUGCCCUGGGUGUGCAGGCCCUUCUGCCAAGACUCUCAGAGAUGUGGGCGCUGCGGCCAUCUUUCCUCCCAGGGUGCCACAGGCUCAGUACCCAGCCUGGUCAGGGAGGCCUUGCACACCAGCUGUUGCCAGGUGUGGGGAACACAGCAAACAGAGCUGCGUCUCCCGUGGGUGCUGGAGUGUGGAGCCGGCCAGAAACAGCAGAGACACAGAAAAGGAGAGAAAAGACCAUGAGAAGAUGGAGAUGGAGAUGGGAGGCAGCCAUGAGAGUCGCCUGAAGCCCCCAGAAGCUGUGAGUGGCAGGAGGGAGACUCUGGAAGGAGCCUGGUGCUGCUGAUACUUGGACUUGGGACUCGGAGCCUCCAGGCUGUGCCUCCAGGCUGUGCGAGGACACACUCUGCUGCCUGAAGCCCCAGGUCAUGCUAACUUAGCACCCAGCCCAGGACACACACACACCUGGCCCUCACCUGCCUCCUGGAGCCUCAGCCUCCUCGGUGGACAACAGGGACGUGGCUCCUCCCAGGCCACACACCCUCUGCCCAGGAAGGCCGGGCCACCUCUACCUCUCCUGUGGCCAGGGCUGCCUGGGCCCAUGGAGGCCUCACGUGGCCUGGCCUGGUCCCCUGGCCGCAGUGCUGUGGCGGCCCCACUUCCUGGAGCCCCGAUUGGGCAGGCUGUGGCCUUAAUGGACCUGAUGAUCAGAUAGCUGCUUGCCUAAUGGCAGAGAUAACAUGUAAAUACGCCGGGAGGCCGUACUAAAACGUUUUAACUGGG